AAAUAGAAUACACUCUUGAUUUCAGCCUGGCUGGCUUUAAAUGAUCUGGUUUUUGAUAAAUGAUUGUUGCGGAACCGUUUCUUUAAAGCUUUAGAAAUGAGUUUAUUCGGCUGAUAAUGAGUUGAUUUUGAAACGGUUUUCUGGAAAUACGGUAUUGAGGUUGACUGUUGAAUUUUGGCUUGCCUUUGAAUUGAUUUUGGAUUUUGGGC
Molecule: long non-coding RNA, 209 nt
Filed under: Arachis ipaensis
Lineage: Eukaryota; Viridiplantae; Streptophyta; Magnoliopsida; Fabales; Fabaceae
Description: long non-coding RNA (AIPA_LNC002517)
Source: RNAcentral